UUAGGAGACACAUAAGGUGUGAUUCACACCUCUGAGCACGUGUAUUAAUACUAACCAGUCCUCUGACUGGUAGCUAGCUAUUCAUCCCUGGGUUCUCAAGUAUCCAGUAACAUCCUUUUAUGGACAACAGCUUUAGUGAACAAGUUGCUAACCAACUUCCUAGAGAAUGGGACAUCAUCAGACAAAAACUGACAUAUUUUGAAAGAAGAAAGACAGCACAGCCCUCGGUCUCAGAUCUUAUGAAUAAAUUUUCCUUCUUUGAAACUUCACGAAGUGGCCUAUUCAUGAAUCGAGUUCAAGAGAAUCGUCAGUAUUGAAAAAGAUGUGAGUGUCCAAUCGAUCAUUAAUGGAGAACUGGGACUCAUGGAUUAUUGCAUAUUCUAAGUUGGAGAUGGCGACAAGAAUUCAGACGAUCUUUGUGCCAGACCAGUACAGACUGUAUUUUCUAUGUGAUGUUGAACAAGAGCCAACGUGCGAGCUAAGUGUAUUCUUUGGACUCAACGAACAAAAUUGAACCCUUUGGCACAUGUAUAAUUAUAAUCUCAUUUUAGUGCUGCUAUGAUGUUUUGUUUCUUUGCUGCUAUACUUUUGUGGAUGUGUUUUAACUUGAUACAGCUGUGA
Molecule: long non-coding RNA, 621 nt
Organism: Halichondria panicea
Lineage: Eukaryota; Metazoa; Porifera; Demospongiae; Suberitida; Halichondriidae
Exons: 4
Source: RefSeq, a predicted model, not a curated record